Molecule: ribosomal RNA, 253 nt
Filed under: uncultured bacterium
Lineage: Bacteria
Description: partial 16S ribosomal RNA
Rfam family: Bacterial small subunit ribosomal RNA
Source: RNAcentral
UACGGGGGGGGCAAGCGUUGUUCGGAAUUACUGGGCGUAAAGGGCUCGUAGGCGGCCAACUAAGUCGGAUGUGAAAUCCCCAAGCUUAACUUGGGAACUGCAUCCGAUACUGGAUGGCUUGAAUCCGGGAGAGGGAUGCAGAAUUCCAGGUGUAGCGGUGAAAUGCGUAGAUAUCUGGAGGAAUACCGGUGGCGAAGGCGGCAUCCUGGACCGGCAUUGACGCUGAUGAGCGAAAGCGUGGGGAGCAAACAGG